AUAGAUCUGAACGGGUCAAUGUGCGAUUAAUAAGACCAUGGUCUAGGUUGGUGACCUCCACUGCACUUUGGAGGAGUGCCUGCCUAAGGUCUGCCCAAGUGGUUGAUCCUACAUCAUACUUCGUUGUUGUGAAGAUCUGUGUUCGCGAUUAUUUACU
RNAcentral lists this small nuclear RNA (157 nucleotides) under Solanum tuberosum (potato). Its description in RNAcentral is "snRNA U1". It matches the Rfam family "U1 spliceosomal RNA". From Rfam's summary of the family: U1 is a small nuclear RNA (snRNA) component of the spliceosome (involved in pre-mRNA splicing). Its 5' end forms complementary base pairs with the 5' splice junction, thus defining the 5' donor site of an intron. The record is from RNAcentral. Lineage: Eukaryota; Viridiplantae; Streptophyta; Magnoliopsida; Solanales; Solanaceae.